AAGCAAAUAGCUUAGUGGAUAAAGCGUAUGUUUCCGAAACACACAGAGGUGGGUUCAAGUCCCACUUUGCUUA
RNAcentral lists this transfer RNA (73 nucleotides) under Boodleopsis sp. FL1161. RNAcentral's name for it is "tRNA-Arg". It matches the Rfam family "tRNA". From Rfam's summary of the family: Transfer RNA (tRNA) molecules are approximately 80 nucleotides in length. The record is from RNAcentral. Lineage: Eukaryota; Viridiplantae; Chlorophyta; Ulvophyceae; Bryopsidales; Halimedaceae.